GACGAACGCUGGCGGCGUGCUUAACACAUGCAAGUCGAACGGAAAGGCCCUGCUUUUGUGGGGUGCUCGAGUGGCGAACGGGUGAGUAACACGUGAGUAACCUGCCCUUGACUUUGGGAUAACUUCAGGAAACUGGGGCUAAUACCGGAUAGGAGCUCCUGCUGCAUGGUGGGGGUUGGAAAGUUUCGGCGGUUGGGGAUGGACUCGCGGCUUAUCAGCUUGUUGGUGGGGUAGUGGCUUACCAAGGCUUUGACGGGUAGCCGGCCUGAGAGGGUGACCGGCCACAUGGGGACGGAGAUAGGCCCCGGCCGCCUGCGGGGGGAAGCGGUGGGGAAUUGUGCACAUGGGGGGGAGGCUGGAGGCAGCACCCCCGCGUGCGGGAGGCCGGCUUUCGGGUUGAAACCCGUUUUCCCCUGUGAAGAAGGGGGGGGGAGGGUAAUGGGUAAAAAACCCCCGCCAAACUCGGUG
RNAcentral lists this ribosomal RNA (468 nucleotides) under uncultured bacterium. RNAcentral's name for it is "partial 16S ribosomal RNA". It matches the Rfam family "Bacterial small subunit ribosomal RNA", at positions 28 to 507 of the family's 1533-position model. The record is from RNAcentral.